RNAcentral lists this ribosomal RNA (492 nucleotides) under uncultured bacterium. RNAcentral's name for it is "partial 16S ribosomal RNA". It matches the Rfam family "Bacterial small subunit ribosomal RNA", at positions 29 to 507 of the family's 1533-position model. The record is from RNAcentral.
AGUGAACGCUGGCGGUAGGCCUAACACAUGCAAGUCGAACGGCAGCACAGUAAGAGCUUGCUCUUACGGGUGGCGAGUGGCGGACGGGUGAGGAAUAUAUCGGAAUCUACUUUUUCGUGGGGGAUAACGUAGGGAAACUUACGCUAAUACCGCAUACGACCUACGGGUGAAAGCAGGGGAUCUUCGGACCUUGCGCGAUUGAAUGAGCCGAUGUCGGAUUUGCUAGUUGGCGGGGUAAAGGCCCACCAAGGCGACGAUCCGUAGCUUGUCUGAGAGAAUGAUCAGCCACACUGGAACUGAGACACGGACCAGACUCCUACGGGAGGCAGCAGUCGGGAAUAUUAGACAAUGGGCGCAAGCCUGAUCCAGCCAUACCGAGUGGGUGAAGAAGGCCUUCGGGUUGUAAAGCCCUUUUGUUGGGAAAGAAAAGCAGCAGGUUAAUACCCCGCUGUUCUGACGGUACCCAAAGAAUAAGCACCGGCUAACUUCGUG